GGCACACCCUUUCCAUAUCUUGUCUUUGACGUGAGCCAGGAUGGAGCUUCAAACCCCACCACGGGGGUUUACUGGCACGGUGGGCAGGGGGGACAUCACCCCACGAGUUCUCUUCUUAAAACCAAGGUACCCUGAACUCAUUGACCUGCCAGCUCAGUGAAUUGAGGAGCUCAAAGUCCGACGAGAGAUCCUGUCCCCCCAAAAAAGUAGAAAUUGGUGGAGGAGAAAAUCCAGCCUUG
This is a long non-coding RNA of Microtus oregoni (creeping vole), 239 nucleotides long. RefSeq lists it as uncharacterized. The transcript is spliced from 3 exons. Lineage: Eukaryota; Metazoa; Chordata; Mammalia; Rodentia; Cricetidae. The record is from RefSeq and is a predicted model, not a curated record.